UUUCCGUAGGUGAACCUGCGGAAGGAUCAUUCAUAAUAAGUGUUUUACUGCACUUUUAAAAGAUAGUACUCACCUUGCGUGCAAUGUUGUGUUUCUUUUCGGAGAAACACCUACACCAACCUAUAACCUUGAACCACUUUGUCUGAAAAACUAUUAUGAAUACUUAAUUCAAAAUACAACUUUCAACAACGGAUCUCUUGGCUCUC
Molecule: unclassified non-coding RNA, 206 nt
Filed under: plant metagenome
Description: partial contains small subunit ribosomal RNA, internal transcribed spacer 1, and 5.8S ribosomal RNA
Source: RNAcentral